GAACGAGACCUUCGGGUCUAGUGGCGCACGGGUGCGUAACACGUGGGAAUCUGCCCUUGGGUUCGGAAUAACAGUGAGAAAUUACUGCUAAUACCGGAUGAUGUCUUCGGACCAAAGAUUUAUCGCCCAAGGAUGGGCCCGCGUAGGAUUAGGUAGUUGGUGGGGUAAAGGCCUACCAAGCCGACGAUCCUUAGCUGGUCUGAGAGGAUGAUCAGCCACACUGGGACUGAGACACGGCCCAGACUCCUACGGGAGGCAGCAGUGGGGAAUAUUGGACAAUGGGCGAAAGCCUGAUCCAGCAAUGCCGCGUGAGUGAUGAAGGCCUUAGGGUUGUAAAGCUCUUUUACCAGGGAUGAUAAUGACAGUACCUGGAGAAUAAGCUCCGGCUAACUCCGUGCCAGCAGCCGCGGUAAUACGGAGGGAGCUAGCGUUGUUCGGAAUUACUGGGCGUAAAGCGCGCGUAGGCGGUUUUUCAAGUCAGAGGUGAAAGCCCGGGGCUCAACCCCGGAACUGCCUUUGAAACUGGAUGACUAGAAUCUUGGAGAGGCGAGUGGAAUUCCGAGUGUAGAGGUGAAAUUCGUAGAUAUUCGGAAGAACACCAGUGGCGAAGGCGACUCGCUGGAC
Molecule: ribosomal RNA, 624 nt
Filed under: uncultured bacterium
Lineage: Bacteria
Description: bacterial SSU rRNA
Rfam family: Bacterial small subunit ribosomal RNA
Source: RNAcentral